This 420-nucleotide long non-coding RNA is filed under the name Chrysolophus pictus (golden pheasant). RNAcentral describes it as "lncRNA (ENSCPIG00010013135.1)". The record is from RNAcentral. Lineage: Eukaryota; Metazoa; Chordata; Aves; Galliformes; Phasianidae.
GCUAAAUAUACUUCUCAAAAUAUUUUUUCUGCACACAAGAGUCCUUGCUACUGUGCCUGCUGUAUAUCAUACUAUGGAGUUUGGCUCCAUCUCCCACAGCACACACAAGUGACCAGCCUGCAACAUGAAGAAAAGCACAGAUUGUUGGAAACGAAAUUCUCAUCAAGGAAAACCUGCAGCAACAGGAAGGAGAAUGCAAAAAUGAAACUUGCCAUUCUGAAAAACGUUUUUUCCACACACAGUUUAAAAAUGGCUCAGCAGUAUCUAAAGGUGACACAUCAGGGAAACCUGUAGAGCCACAGAGUUUGAAUUGCCAUUGGAAGCCCUGAUCUGCUCUCAGACCUGCCAUGUUUAUGGAUAAUCCCUCCCCAGUGAGCUUAGAGUAAAUAGUGUUCCUGUGUUUCCCGUGCAGAGUCCCCC